This 279-nucleotide unclassified non-coding RNA is filed under the name Helotiales sp. RNAcentral's name for it is "partial contains 5.8S ribosomal RNA, internal transcribed spacer 2, and large subunit ribosomal RNA". The stretch from base 1 to 71 matches the Rfam family "5.8S ribosomal RNA", at positions 84 to 154 of the family's 154-position model. The record is from RNAcentral. Lineage: Eukaryota; Fungi; Ascomycota; Leotiomycetes; Helotiales.
GUGAGUCAUCGAAUCUUUGAACGCACAUUGCGCCCUCUGGUAUUCCGGGGGGCAUGCCUGUUCGAGCGUCAUUACAACCCUCAAGCUCUGCUUGGUAUUGGGCCUCGCCGGUUCCGGCGGGCCUCAAAGUCAGUGGCGGUGCCAUCCGGCUUCAAGCGUAGUAACACUCUCGCUUCUGGAGACCCGGGUGCGUGCUUGCCAGCAACCCCAACUUUCUAAGGUUGACCUCGGAUCAGGUAGGGAUACCCGCUGAACUUAAGCAUAUCAAUAAGCGGAGGA